UGGGGAAUAUUGCACAAUGGGCGAAAGCCUGAUGCAGCAACGCCGCGUGAGUGAUGAAGGCCUUCGGGUUGUAAAGCUCUGUCUUUUGGGACGAUAAUGACGGUACCAAAGGAGGAAGCCACGGCUAACUACGUGCCAGCAGCCGCGGUAAUACGUAGGUGGCAAGCGUUGUCCGGAUUUACUGGGCGUAAAGGAUGCGUAGGCGGAUUUUUAAGUGAGAUGUGAAAUACCCGGGCUUAACUUGGGUGCUGCAUUUCAAACUGGGAAUCUAGAGUGCGGGAGAGGAGAAAUGGAAUUCCUAGUGUAGCGGUGAAAAUGCGUAGAGAUUAGGAAGAACACCAGUGGCGAAAGGCGAUUCUCUGGACCGUAACUGACGCUGAGGCAUGAAAGCGUGGGUAGCAAACAGGAUUAGAUACCCUGGUAGUCCACGCCGUAAAACGAUGAGUACUAGGUGUAGGAGGUAUCGACCCCUUCUGUGCCGCAGUUAACACAAU
Molecule: ribosomal RNA, 494 nt
Filed under: uncultured bacterium
Lineage: Bacteria
Description: partial 16S ribosomal RNA
Rfam family: Bacterial small subunit ribosomal RNA
Source: RNAcentral